Sphaeramia orbicularis (orbiculate cardinalfish) is the source of this 125-nucleotide long non-coding RNA. RefSeq lists it as uncharacterized. Lineage: Eukaryota; Metazoa; Chordata; Actinopteri; Kurtiformes; Apogonidae. The record is from RefSeq and is a predicted model, not a curated record. The transcript is spliced from 3 exons.
AGUUGGGGUCAAGUGCCUAAUUUGCAUAUUCAGAAAACAGCUUCUAUCUUGAAAACUAAGACGGAUAUCAACUAACUUUGUAUUAUUGUACAGGAAGUCGGAUUUGACCUUUCAUUUGGUACCAA